AUGAACGCUUGCGGCCUGCCUAAUACAUGCAAGUCGAGCGAACAGACGAGGAGCUUGCUCCUCUGACGUUAGCGGCGGACGGGUGAGUAACACGUGGAUAACCUACCUAUAAGACUGGGAUAACUUCGGGAAACCGGAGCUAAUACCGGAUAAUAUAUUGAACCGCAUGGUUCAAUAGUGAAAGACGGUUUUGCUGUCACUUAUAGAUGGAUCCGCGCCGCAUUAGCUAGUUGGUAAGGUAACGGCUUACCAAGGCAACGAUGCGUAGCCGACCUGAGAGGGUGAUCGGCCACACUGGAACUGAGACACGGUCCAGACUCCUACGGGAGGCAGCAGUAGGGAAUCUUCCGCAAUGGGCGAAAGCUUGACGGAGCAACGCCGCGUGAGUGAUGAAGGUCUUCGGAUCGUAAAACUCUGUUAUUAGGGAAGAACAAAUGUGUAAGUAACUAUGCACGUCUUGACGGUACCUAAUCAGAAAGCCACGGCUAACUACGUG
This 496-nucleotide ribosomal RNA is filed under the name uncultured bacterium. Its description in RNAcentral is "partial 16S ribosomal RNA". It matches the Rfam family "Bacterial small subunit ribosomal RNA", at positions 29 to 507 of the family's 1533-position model. The record is from RNAcentral.